AUGCUAGAGCUCCAUUUGUUGAUUUUUGUUACCAAUGGAAGUGGGAACAGUAUAUAUUCCUCUCAAGAAAAGGAAGAUAAGAUUUUAAGAAUAAAGGAUGUUUGCCAAUGCCAUAUUACUUUGUAUUUUUGCCGCUUUCAACUUAGAUAUCAUUGCUUUUCUUCUAUCAUUUUCAAAUUACUUGGCCUACCCACUAGGAUUGAACUAGUGGUGACAAGUUUGAAGAAUUUUUGA
Vicia faba (fava bean) is the source of this 234-nucleotide non-coding RNA. Lineage: Eukaryota; Viridiplantae; Streptophyta; Magnoliopsida; Fabales; Fabaceae. The record is from the annotation of a GenBank genome assembly.